This 218-nucleotide long non-coding RNA is filed under the name Gallus gallus (chicken). The record is from RNAcentral. Lineage: Eukaryota; Metazoa; Chordata; Aves; Galliformes; Phasianidae.
UAGACCUGUGGUGGUUCUUAAACCUGUAACUCCACAAAGAAUGUUGUGGAGAGUGAUAAGGUCUCCCCAGAGCAUCCUAUUCUCCAGGCUGAAGAAACCCAGAACGUUCCUGUAUAUGUCUGCAUGAAAGUCUGUGCUAAGGGAGAUGGCAGGCAAGAAGAAAGAAAUCCAGCUUCAGACCACAGUAUGCAACCAAAAUGAGUGGGAUGAAAUGUUGC